AAAAAAAUCAUGAGAUCAGCAGAUUGGUCUUCUCGCCUGAGUGUCGCCAUGAAGGUAGCGCCCCUUCCGGCACCCGCGGAGAAUAACGUCCCGGAGGCGGGGCUGAGUCUGUGAGCUGCGUGCGGGCAGAGAGCAAGUUAAACCGGAAGCUUCUGAGUGAAGUCGGAGUGGGACCGGGAGCUGUGCGGGAGGCCGAAAGCUGAAGCUUACCAUCGAUGGAGCUGGAGGCCUCCUCAGAUUGACCUAGGGCCCUACCAAGUGUGGAUUUACAUCAGAGUCGAUCCCUUGCCUGGGAUCACUCCAACCGCGGCCUGCGGACUUUACAUCGGGAGCUUGCAGUCUUGGAAGAGGCCGUGGAUGUUGGGAGCUCCAACGUCACGGAAGGUUUGACCAGCCCCAACGAGGGGUUUGAUCGUCCGGCCCAGGGGAGCCGACAUCCCCCCCAAUGCAGGAGCUAAUCGCCUCAAUGCAAAGGGCCCGCCGCCGGCUACGGGAGUCAAGAUCAUCCCAUCAAUGGAGGGCUUGAGGCCCUCGAUCGCGGGAGAGCAAAGGGAAGACAUUUUUUCGCCUUCCAUCACAGUGAGAAAUGUGGAGGGGUCACUGUGGUGGAUAUUUAUGUUAAAAUGUGUUUUGUGUGUUCCGUUGCUUUUUAUUUGUAUGACUGACUCGGCAAAUGAAAUUCCUCGUAUAUUGCAAGACAUACUUGGCUAAUAAAGUAUUAAUGU
Leucoraja erinaceus (little skate) is the source of this 725-nucleotide long non-coding RNA. RefSeq lists it as uncharacterized. The record is from RefSeq and is a predicted model, not a curated record. The transcript has 2 exons. Lineage: Eukaryota; Metazoa; Chordata; Chondrichthyes; Rajiformes; Rajidae.